RNAcentral lists this ribosomal RNA (484 nucleotides) under uncultured bacterium. Its description in RNAcentral is "partial 16S ribosomal RNA". It matches the Rfam family "Bacterial small subunit ribosomal RNA", at positions 30 to 507 of the family's 1533-position model. The record is from RNAcentral.
AUUGAACGCUGGCGGCAGGCCUAACACAUGCAAGUCGAGCGGAUGAAGGGAGCUUGCUCCUGGAUUCAGCGGCGGACGGGUGAGUAAUGCCUAGGAAUCUGCCUGGUAGUGGGGGAUAACUUCCGGAAACGGGCGCUAAUACCGCAUACGUCCUGAUGGAGAAAGUGGGGGAUCUUCGGACCUCACGCUAUCAGAUGAGCCUAGGUCGGAUUAGCUAGUUGGUGGGGUAAAGGCCUACCAAGGCGACGAUCCGUAACUGGUCUGAGAGGAUGAUCAGUCACACUGGAACUGAGACACGGUCCAGACUCCUACGGGAGGCAGCAGUGGGGAAUAUUGGACAAUGGGCGAAAGCCUGAUCCAGCCAUGCCGCGUGUGUGAAGAAGGUCUUCGGAUUGUAAAGCACUUUAAGUUGGGAGGAAGGGCAGUAAGUUAAUACCUUGCUGUUUUGACGUUACCAACAGAAUAAGCACCGGCUAACUUCGUG